Molecule: long non-coding RNA, 1266 nt
Filed under: Mus musculus (house mouse)
Lineage: Eukaryota; Metazoa; Chordata; Mammalia; Rodentia; Muridae
Description: alncRNA-EC60
Source: RNAcentral
AGUACAAUCUUGAUUUCUCAGCAAGGCUUAGGAGAUUCUACUACAGCGGCUGUCCUGAGAACUAUGUGGGUGAACACUGAAGUUCACGGAGGUGUCAUUACAGUGCUCUCUAGUGGAGGGCAUCGGUAAUACACCUUACAGAGAGCUGCAGCAACUGGAUUAGUGUUAGGACCCAGUCUGCAGGAGAGCAUGCCUACUCAAAACACUAUAAAGAACCAGAAGCGUAGAAACCUAACAGGAAAGUCCAUUUUCAAAAUUGUAAAAUGAGAACAUUUGUAAUUUGUGGUAACAUUAAGAAAAUGCAGGCGUGCGCAACCACGUUCACCAAUGAAUGAGACCAGGUAUUGGGUUUCUCCCGCUUGAGAAGAUAGUAUCUGUUGUUAUUGUGGUUUCGAAAAGUAUUUCUCACAGACACUUAGAAAUAUUGAAAUCAAAACGUUAAGAUACAGGCCAUGAUUGACUAAAUAGGCAGAAAAUAAAAUUUUCUCAGGUAUGUGACUUAAUCCCUCUCGUCCUUUCCACGUCUGAGCAGCUGAUGGAGGAUUUGCAAUAACCGCUCUUUCUGCAUAGGAACCAGCAGAACUCGCUGAAAAUGGACUGAACAGAGUUCAACGACUGGAGAAUUUUAUGCCCCCCCCCUUUAUUAAUAAUUCUGCUGUCACCAAAUACGAUGAGAAUAGAGUCUCGCGCCACGCGGCAGAGAACGAAAUCCACUUCACAUCCCAUCUGAUUGCGCGUACUCCUUCAUGCAUCUGCGAUUGCGCGUACUCCAUCACGCAUUCUGCGAAUGCGCAUACUCCUUCAAGCAUCUGCCCACGUCACUGUUUCUCAUCUUCUCCGUGAAUAGUUCAUCAAAGACCCUGUUCUGCUUCGGAGUGAAGUAGUUUAUCCAAUCACCCACCACUCCUGGAAAGACAGGAAAUGUAUCAGGCAAGAAUCAGUCUCUACCCACAACACUGACGGAAGAACUCUGCCAGCUUUGCGAUCAAAUGGGAGUGUUUGGUCUCUUCUGUGAGGGCUGCAUAUUAAUUUCCACAGUUUAUAACUAUUUAUUUAGAGAAAGAUUUAAAAUAAAUAAAUAUUUUUUUCUGGAGUAGGCCAGGACGAUCUAGUCUAAAUGUGACCCAGUAGUGUGAGCACAAAGGUAGCUCAUUGGUUUGCCCCCUUGCGAGCUUGCACAGUGAGAGCUGGUCUGAGACUGCACCGUAGGAAUGGGUAGCUCACCUUAAUUUCAGAAAUGUCUUUUCUAUAGAAUGAAUAGUGGAG